AGCAAUGUAGAGGAAAACUAGUCCGGGGUACACGAACUCGCCCAAAUGCGCCUGGUCGCCGUCCACGAUCAAAUGCGGCAGACCAUCAGUACCGCACAACAACCCCUGGUUUCCGUAAAACUCAAACCUCCUCUUGGUCUUCUCAAUAGUCGCAUUGAUAGCCAACGCAGGUGCGCUGUCAGGCGCGUAGAGCUUCAACCUGCCCUCCAAUUUCUUAAUCUCCUGCUUCUGUCGCUUGGCAAACCCCUUGCUCUCCUUGCAAGGCGUCAAACCAGCAACAUCAGCUCUCGCAUCGGGCACCACAAAGUCACUGGAACCCACAACAGCAGCCAAUGCCAACGCAGUGGCGAACUUCCCUGCGGUCUCGGCAACAGUGGAGGUCUCGUCGGCGGAUGUAGAGCAGACAAUCCUAGCCUUGGAGCUCUUCACGAACACUGAAGCGCGAGCGCCGGAGAUUGCUGUCCGGGAGCUGACGUCCUUGCAGAGGGGCGCA
This 493-nucleotide long non-coding RNA is filed under the name Physcomitrium patens. RNAcentral's name for it is "long non-coding RNA (PPAT_LNC012728)". The record is from RNAcentral. Lineage: Eukaryota; Viridiplantae; Streptophyta; Bryopsida; Funariales; Funariaceae.